CAAUUCCCCUCUCUCACGCGAGCUCCAUGGCCACAACCUUGCCGCCGCCUCCAAAUCAGGGCAGCUCCGGCGCAGUUCCGCGGCCCUGCUCACCGCCCCCUCCCUGCUCACUGUUCUUAUCCUAUCUUCCGUCGCCGGAACGUCGUCCCCGUCCCUGCACACGCCUCCGCAGCAACCCUAUUCGCCACGGGUCGCUGGCGCGGCUCCUCCGCCUCCGGUUUAUCUGCCAACUACCCCUGCGUCUCCGCACCCACGGACGCCCGUUCGAGCUCAACGGUGCUACUCCGCCAGGGUCACCUCGACUCCGAUACCGUCUGUUCUAACCAGAUCACAUCCUUGAUCCAGUGCAUCGCUCCAUGGUCUGAGCUCCACUGUCGUCAUCUGCAAGUGAAAUAUGACUACCUAGGGAUGGCCGUUGUGUCAUCAUAGAUCACAGGUGGACAACAACCAUCAUGGUGAGCGACCUUACUCGAUCCUGGAGGCCCAACAUUCCACUUCACAUUUCUAGAUUUUCAUGGCAGAUCAAGUAAAUAAGAUGUGACGGUAUCUCUGGAUAUCUGAGCUGUGACCCUGUGACAAACUUACGAAAGAAGAUUCCUUCAAGUAUCACUUAAUAGGUUCUGAAGUGAUUUUGCUUCAGCUAACAUGCUUGCAUUAGCUUUUCUCUUACAGCUUCCAGUACAUCCGAUUUCCCAAGCUUUCUGUACCUAUUUGUAUUGUUGAUCAAUCAUUUGUCAAUCGUCGAGCUACCUUAAGCUGCACCAAAGGCGCACCCCCGCAUUGAUUGCAAGAUAAAUAGAUGGUCCAUGGCUAAGCUGCUGAUUGCAAGAUAAAUAGAUGGUACAUGGCUAAGGUCCUGAUUGCAAGGCGGAGAAUGGGGCAACUACCAGAUAGUUCUACAUUAAUGUUAUUGAGUGUUAUUUUCAUUUCGAUGUAUAGGAAAUCAUGUGUAUAUUCCUUGGAUCGUGUUCCAUGUAUUGCAAAC
This is a long non-coding RNA of Triticum aestivum (bread wheat), 985 nucleotides long. RefSeq lists it as uncharacterized. The record is from RefSeq and is a predicted model, not a curated record. The transcript has 6 exons. NCBI's taxonomy places the organism in Eukaryota, Viridiplantae, Streptophyta, Magnoliopsida, Poales, Poaceae.